CAACCAGACCAUUUUUCGAAUACAUUUAGAUCAACACGCACAACUCAUGUUCACAUUAGCACAAUUUAUGAAAAGCAUCAUUUUUCUCCCAAUAAAAUUGAAAUGGUAAAAAAGACAUUGUGCAACAGCAUUAGCUUUCAAGAAAAAAUAAUUCCUAACCAGCCCACAUUAAAGCAAAAAACCAAAAUCAUGGCAUCCUCUAUUGUAGAAUUAAGAAAAAUAGGCUCUCGUGGGAUAGAUUGGUUCACCUUGAGGUACAAUGAAUAGAUUAGAAAACAAGCAGAAGUUAGUCCUAUUUUGGAAUCUGCAAUAAUACUCAGUUAGAAAGAACUGCAAGAUAAAGGCACCCAUACUUACAUGAGCCAGCAGAUGUGCAGCCUGGGCAAUUGUGGGAAGGUGAACUGCUGUGAAGCAUGAAUGUAGCUCGAGAAAGACAACCCCUAGAUUUGAACCCGUUGGUACUCUUCAUCUCCCACAAAUACCGCAUCAGCAGAUUGAUUGGAAUAUCA
This 509-nucleotide long non-coding RNA is filed under the name Triticum aestivum (bread wheat). RNAcentral's name for it is "long non-coding RNA (TAES_LNC002875)". Lineage: Eukaryota; Viridiplantae; Streptophyta; Magnoliopsida; Poales; Poaceae. The record is from RNAcentral.